UGAAGCAAGCUGUAUGCAUCAAUAUGAAGUGCAUUUUAUUUCUUGCAGUGUCAUCUUUUCUUCUCGUGAUUGCUAGAAGUGCUAACCAGUGCAAAGACGCCACCAUACCAUGCCUUAACAAAGGCGUCUGCAACAUGUUGCGGGGAAAAAGUCUAGGGAGUUGUUUUCAAGGUGUCUGCUGCAAGAAAGGGGGUCACGAAUCAAAGCAAUGUAAAAUAACAGGCACAUUGUGUUUGGCGAAACGUGAUUGCAAAAAUUUGAAGGGGAAAGCGGCUGGAAAGUGUUUCAAAGGAGUUUGCUGCAAAACAGGAAGGAAACAUUUGUGCAGCGCUUUUGGAGGAGAAUGCCAACCAAAAAAUACGACCUGCAAGUCCUUGAAAAAAGCCAGCCAUACUUGCGGAAAAAGCAAGAAAUGCUGUGUUUGGUUAAAUUAGUCAGUCACGCAAAACUUUCUCACA
This is a long non-coding RNA of Rhipicephalus microplus (southern cattle tick), 458 nucleotides long. Lineage: Eukaryota; Metazoa; Arthropoda; Arachnida; Ixodida; Ixodidae. The record is from RefSeq and is a predicted model, not a curated record.